This 357-nucleotide ribosomal RNA is filed under the name uncultured bacterium. RNAcentral describes it as "bacterial SSU rRNA". It matches the Rfam family "Bacterial small subunit ribosomal RNA", at positions 356 to 730 of the family's 1533-position model. The record is from RNAcentral.
CGGGAAUUUUGGGCAAUGGGCGAAAGCCUGACCCAGCAACGCCGCGUGAGGGAUGAAGUAUUUCGGUAUGUAAACCUCGAAAGAAUGGGAAGAAUAAAUGACGGUACCAUUUAUAAGCUCCGGCUAACUACGUGCCAGCAGCCGCGGUAAUACGUAGGGAGCAAGCGUUGUUCGGAUUUACUGGGCGUAAAGGGCGCGUAGGCGGCGCGGUAAGUCACUUGUGAAAUCUCUGAGCUUAACUCAGAACGGCCAAGUGAUACUGCUGUGCUAGAGUGCGGGAGAGGCAACCAGAAUUCUUGGUGUAGCGGUGAAAUGCGUAGAUAGCCGGAGGAACACCAGUGGCGAAAGCGGCCUCCU